Molecule: ribosomal RNA, 492 nt
Filed under: uncultured bacterium
Lineage: Bacteria
Description: partial 16S ribosomal RNA
Rfam family: Bacterial small subunit ribosomal RNA
Source: RNAcentral
AGUGAACGCUGGCGGUAGGCCUAACACAUGCAAGUCGAACGGCAGCACAGUAAGAGCUUGCUCUUACGGGUGGCGAGUGGCGGACGGGCGAGGAAUACAUCGGAAUCUACUUUUUCGUGGGGGAUAACGUAGGGAAACUUACGCUAAUACCGCAUACGACCUACGGGUGAAAGCAGGGGAUCUUCGGACCUUGCGCGAUUGAAUGAGCCGAUGUCGGAUUAGCUAGUUGGCGGGGUAAAGGCCCACCAAGGCGACGAUCCGUAGCUGGUCUGAGAGGAUGAUCAGCCACACUGGAACUGAGGCACGGUCCAGACUCCUACGGGAGGCAGCAGUGGGGAAUAUUGGACAAUGGGCGCAAGCCUGAUCCAGCCAUAACGCGUGGGUGAAGAAGGCCUUCGGGUUGUAAAGCCCUUUUGUUGGGAAAGAAAAGCAGCAGGUUAAUACCCCGCUGUUCUGACGGUACCCAAAGAAUAAGCACCGGCUAACUUCGUG